UUUACGAUAGUUUAUAAUUAAAACAUUCCUCCUUCAAUGGAAAAAAGAAAGAAGGUCUCGUAGAA
Molecule: transfer RNA, 65 nt
Filed under: Brueelia antiqua
Lineage: Eukaryota; Metazoa; Arthropoda; Insecta; Psocodea; Philopteridae
Description: tRNA-Glu
Source: RNAcentral